Molecule: ribosomal RNA, 207 nt
Filed under: uncultured bacterium
Lineage: Bacteria
Description: partial 16S ribosomal RNA
Rfam family: Bacterial small subunit ribosomal RNA
Source: RNAcentral
CGCGUAGGCGGUUCGUACAGUCAGACGUGAAAUUCCCGGGCUCAACCUGGGGACUGCGUUUGAUACGUACGGGCUUGAGUUCGGAAGAGGGUCGUGGAAUUCCCAGUGUAGAGGUGAAAUUCGUAGAUAUUGGGAAGAACACCGGUGGCGAAGGCGGCGACCUGGUCCGAUACUGACGCUGAGGCGCGAAAGCGUGGGGAGCAAACA